Molecule: transfer RNA, 67 nt
Filed under: Frankia alni ACN14a
Lineage: Bacteria; Bacillati; Actinomycetota; Actinomycetes; Frankiales; Frankiaceae
Description: tRNA-Ser (CGA) (tRNA-Ser-CGA-2-1)
Source: RNAcentral
AGGCGUACUUGGACGCAAAUGCUCCCUCGCACGGAGGAGGCCAGGGGUUCGAGUCCCCUCACCUCCA